Long non-coding RNA from Pan troglodytes (chimpanzee), 170 nucleotides. RefSeq lists it as uncharacterized. The record is from RefSeq and is a predicted model, not a curated record. Lineage: Eukaryota; Metazoa; Chordata; Mammalia; Primates; Hominidae. The transcript has 3 exons.
CUCGGCCGCUCUCUCGGUUUACCGCCCCCUGUGUCCAGAGAUCACAGAUGGAGAGACAUUUUGCCACACGAUUAAUCACACAGAAUUAAUAAAGUAAAACCAUCUGAAUAAGUUCAUCCCAAGCUGAUUCUGAUGGAUGGUCUGGCGGAUUUAUAAACUCUCCUCUGUCA